GCAGUGGUGGUUCCAUGGUAGAACUCUUGCCUUCCACGCAGGAGAGCUGGGAUUGAUUCCUGGCCAGUGCA
Transfer RNA from Loxodonta africana (African savanna elephant), 71 nucleotides. It matches the Rfam family "tRNA". From Rfam's summary of the family: Transfer RNA (tRNA) molecules are approximately 80 nucleotides in length. The record is from Rfam. NCBI's taxonomy places the organism in Eukaryota, Metazoa, Chordata, Mammalia, Proboscidea, Elephantidae.